Molecule: ribosomal RNA, 559 nt
Filed under: Polysarcus scutatus
Lineage: Eukaryota; Metazoa; Arthropoda; Insecta; Orthoptera; Tettigoniidae
Also listed under: 1 other name
Description: SSU rRNA
Rfam family: Eukaryotic small subunit ribosomal RNA
Source: RNAcentral
AUGAUUCGUGGGACGUCCUGCCGGUGGUGGCGAGUCGAAGGCGUGCUCCCGUCGUGGUUUCCACUUCGGUUCUUGUGCGCCCGAGGCGGACCCCGAUGAAAUCCUACCGCGGUGCUCUUAACCGAGUGUCGAGGUGGGCCGGCACGUUUACUUUGAACAAAUUAGAGUUCUUAAAGCAGGCCUGUUGCGCCUGAAUACUGUGUGCAUGGAAUAAUGGAAUAGGACCUCGGUUCUAUUUUGUUGGUUUUCGGAACCCGAGGUAAUGAUUAAUAGGGACAGGCGGGGGCAUUCGUAUUGCGACGUUAGAGGUGAAAUUCUUGGAUCGUCGCAAGACGGACCGAAGCGAAAGCAUUUGCCAAGUAUGUUUUCAUUAAUCAAGAACGAAAGUUAGAGGUUCGAAGGCGAUCAGAUACCGCCCUAGUUCUAACCAUAAACGAUGCCAGCUAGCGAUCCGCCGAAGUUCCUCCGAUGACUCGGCGGGCAGCUCCCGGGAAACCAAAGCUUUUGGGUUCCGGGGGAAGUAUGGUUGCAAAGCUGAAACUUAAAGGAUUGACGGAGG